This 467-nucleotide ribosomal RNA is filed under the name uncultured bacterium. RNAcentral's name for it is "partial 16S ribosomal RNA". It matches the Rfam family "Bacterial small subunit ribosomal RNA", at positions 28 to 506 of the family's 1533-position model. The record is from RNAcentral.
GACGAACGCUGGCGGCGUGCUUAACACAUGCAAGUCGAACGGAAAGGCCCUGCUUUUGUGGGGUGCUCGAGUGGCGAACGGGUGAGUAACACGUGAGUAACCUGCCCUUGACUUUGGGAUAACUUCAGGAAACUGGGGCUAAUACCGGAUAGGAGCUCCUGCUGCAUGGUGGGGGUUGGAAAGUUUCGGCGGUUGGGGAUGGAUGCGCGGCUUAUCAGCUUGUUGGUGGGGUAGUGGCUUACCAAGGCUUUGACGGGUAGCCGGCCUGGGAGGGUGACCGGCCACAUUGGGACUGGGGUACGGCCCAGGCUCCUACGGGAGGCAGCAGUGGGGAAUAUUGCACAAUGGGCGGAAGCCUGAUGCAGCAACGCCGCGUGCGGGAUGACGGCCUUCGGGUUGUAAACCGCCUUCGCCUGUGACGAAGCGUGAGUGACGGUAAUGGGUAAAGAAGCACCGGCUAACUACGU